UAGGGAAUCUUCCACAAUGGACGCAAGUCUGAUGGAGCAACGCCGCGUGAGUGAAGAAGGUCUUCGGAUCGUAAAACUCUGUUGUUAAAGAAGAACACGUAUGAGAGUAACUGUUCAUACGUUGACGGUAUUUAACCAGAAAGUCACGGCUAACUACGUGCCGG
RNAcentral lists this ribosomal RNA (164 nucleotides) under uncultured bacterium. RNAcentral's name for it is "partial 16S rRNA". It matches the Rfam family "Bacterial small subunit ribosomal RNA", at positions 355 to 511 of the family's 1533-position model. The record is from RNAcentral.